AAAUUGAAGAGUUUGAUCAUGGCUCAGAUUGAACGCUGGCGGCAGGCCUAACACAUGCAAGUCGAACGGUAACAGGAAGCAGCUUGCUGCUUCGCUGACGAGUGGCGGACGGGUGAGUAAUGUCUGGGAAACUGCCUGAUGGAGGGGGAUAACUACUGGAAACGGUAGCUAAUACCGCAUAACGUCGCAAGACCAAAGAGGGGGACCUUCGGGCCUCUUGCCAUCGGAUGUGCCCAGAUGGGAUUAGCUAGUAGGUGGGGUAACGGCUCACCUAGGCGACGAUCCCUAGCUGGUCUGAGAGGAUGACCAGCCACACUGGAACUGAGACACGGUCCAGACUCCUACGGGAGGCAGCAGUGGGGAAUAUUGCACAAUGGGCGCAAGCCUGAUGCAGCCAUGCCGCGUGUAUGAAGAAGGCCUUCGGGUUGUAAAGUACUUUCAGCGGGGAGGAAGGGAGUAAAGUUAAUACCUUUGCUCAUUGACGUUACCCGCAGAAGAAGCACCGGCUAACUCCGUGCCAGCAGCCGCGGUAAUACGGAGGGUGCAAGCGUUAAUCGGAAUUACUGGGCG
Molecule: ribosomal RNA, 570 nt
Filed under: Escherichia coli
Lineage: Bacteria; Pseudomonadati; Pseudomonadota; Gammaproteobacteria; Enterobacterales; Enterobacteriaceae
Description: bacterial SSU rRNA
Rfam family: Bacterial small subunit ribosomal RNA
Source: RNAcentral